This 399-nucleotide ribosomal RNA is filed under the name uncultured bacterium. RNAcentral's name for it is "bacterial SSU rRNA". It matches the Rfam family "Bacterial small subunit ribosomal RNA", at positions 355 to 772 of the family's 1533-position model. The record is from RNAcentral.
CUAGGAAUCUUGGGAAUGGGCGAAAGCCUGACCCAGCAACGCCGCGUGGGCGAUGAAGGCCUUAGGGUCGUAAAGCCCUUUUGAGAGGGAAGAUGAUGACGGUACCUCUCGAAUAAGCCACGGCUAACUACGUGCCAGCAGCCGCGGUAAUACGUAGGUGGCAAGCGUUGUCCGGAUUUACUGGGCGUAAAGGGCGUGCAGGCGGUUUGUUAAGUCUAGGGUGAAAGCUCCCGGCUCAACUGGGAGAGGUCCUUGGAUACUGGCAGACUUGAGGAGGGUAGAGGAGAGUGGAAUUCCCGGUGUAGUGGUGAUAUGCGUAGAUAUCGGGAGGAACACCAGUGGCGAAGGCGGCUCUCUGGGCCCUACCUGACGCUGAGACGCGAAAGCGUGGGGAGCGAA